AUAUUAAAUGAAAAAAACUAACAAAUUUCGGUAAAAGACUUAAUACACACAAAUAAAAUUGAAAUCCAAACAAAGAAUAGGAAAACAAUAGCAUGAAAUCACAAUCCUAAGAACAUGAAACUGUAAAGCUAGAACUAACGACGCAAACCAAAUCAACAAGCAAGCCAACCAACGAAGCAAGCAGGUCAAGGACGCCCAGAAAUGAUAGACGAGACGGUCACUGAACAAAUUAGCAGUGCCCAAAACCAAACCAACAAGUCAAGACGAGAAUUAAAACAACUAUAACUAAUAGAACAAAAGAAACAGGGUAUCACAAUUAUAACCCCUGAAAGCUGCAUCCAACCAACGAAAUCCUCUGAAUGACGCAAUCCUUACUUUGCUAAAGCAUCUGUAGUCCAAUUUGCUUCUCUAAGAACAUGUUAGAUGUAAAAGCAGGGAGAACUUUUAAGUUACACGCAAUAGAGUAAUAAGUUGCAGCAAGUUUCCAAGGUUGCAAGUUUGGGGAAGAUAUCCAUGAGACUGCGACCAGUGAAUCAAAUUCCAAAAUAAUCUCUGACUUUGAAGACCAUAUUUUGGGUUUAGAAAUUAAAAGUUUCAAGCCUUGUCAAUGGCCAAGAACUCAGCUGCACUGGAGUCUUGAUGUCCUACAAAGUAAGAGAACACGCAGAGGAAAUUCCUAGAAAAAUCACGAAGCACUUCUCUAAUUGUAUUAGGGCUUGGUUUACCAAGAGAUAAGCCAUCAACAUUCCGCUAAAGCCGAUUUGGGGCAAGAGGAACUAGGCCAAGAGGGAGAGAUAUUGGAUUAACACGACUCCUAUCAGCUGGUAAAAAAAAAUAGCCAAAUUCAAGCCAAUAUAAGAAAAAU
RNAcentral lists this unclassified non-coding RNA (865 nucleotides) under Hevea brasiliensis (rubber tree). Lineage: Eukaryota; Viridiplantae; Streptophyta; Magnoliopsida; Malpighiales; Euphorbiaceae. The record is from RNAcentral.